Dendronephthya gigantea is the source of this 450-nucleotide long non-coding RNA. RefSeq lists it as uncharacterized. The transcript is spliced from 3 exons. NCBI's taxonomy places the organism in Eukaryota, Metazoa, Cnidaria, Anthozoa, Malacalcyonacea, Nephtheidae. The record is from RefSeq and is a predicted model, not a curated record.
GCAGUGUCACGUGUGGUCAAGGUGUUGAAAUAUGGACGCGACUAUGUUAUGUUCCGCCAGGAGAGUUUAGUGAGAAUUGUAGUAAGCAGGGAGCAGCUUAUCGGGUUCAAGUAUGUGAGAUGAAACAUUGCUCAGAUGUUUCCAAAAACCGGACCAUUUCUAUCAUCAUUGCUACUGUUUCUUUCGUGAUUGUCAUUGCAGUUGUUUUGUUCAUUCGAAAACAAAAAGCCAAAGAAGACUCUUCACAUUCCGCAACUCCAGAGAACCGCCCUCCAGAGUACGGCAAUCUUACACCUGAUGGAAAUCCGAUUCCACAACAUUCGCGUGGUGUUGUGCUGUGGAGAAGAGAUUAUGUCAACACACAUUCUUCGCAGAGAUCUUGGUAUGACAGACUCCAACUAUUUCCACCAUUGGCGGUUGAAUGGCUUCGAAACGCAUGGGGAAAUGUUG